UGCCGCGGAUGCGGCCCUAAAAAGCAAAAACAAAAACCCUAAAAAAAACCUUAAAAAAAUUAUAACUACCUCCCCAGCUAGAUUGUGUGUUUCUGAGGGUAGGGACUGUCCUUUCACCCCUUUGUUUCUCUGGUUCCUCAUGGCUCAGUAACAAGAUGUUACUGUCGAGGAUGAUGCUGAUGGUGGCAGCGAUGAUGGUGGAUGGAAAUGGGGCUGGUAGUGAGUGAGCCCCCUGCCUACAGCUGCUCCCAGCCUGCCUCCUGGAAAACAAGGUCAUGGUGAUGGCCCAGUGUGACCUGGAGGAGCUUUCCUCCUUGUAGAAGAGCUUCUUGAUUUGGGAGACGCUCAGGGGAGCCUGUGCCUCUGGCCUAGGUAUCCCAAAGGGCUUCUCCAGCCCUGAGGAUGCAGAGGCAGCAGCUCCCUGCCCCUCCUCCUGGGGCCUGCAUUCUGGCGAGGCCCCCGCCCAUCGACACACUCCUCCCCAGCUGGGGCCCUGGGCUCUGCGGGUCUGGGUGGGGAGGAAGUGGGAAGGAGGAGGGCUUCCCACCCAGCCUCUGCAGCUCUGGUGAAAAACGAUGUGGUCCUUCCUAUAAGUUCAGAAAUCCCAUCCCCACAGAGGCAGGGACCAGGUGGAGCUGACCACCCCGAGGGCAGCCUAGCGGGAUGGUCUGGACCUGGGAGCCGCCUUGGAGGUGCCUGCAGCCACAGGGCCUGGACUGUGACGUCUCAGUUGACCUGAAAUCAGAGUCCUACCAUCUGAGAGGGCCAGAGGUGGGGGCUGUGGGCCGUGCUCUCUGCAGCUUCCUCAAAUAACCAAGGACACGAUGAACUCUUUAUAUUUUAAGGACAUUAACUGUUUGCCUAUCACAGUCAUUCAGAAAGAAUUUUUUCAAAUAAAGAAGAAAACACGUCCAUUUUUAUAGAUGAAUAAACCAAAAACUCAGUGAGAAAGGUGGAUUAUCCAAGGUCACCCAACUGGCAGGUGAUCUAGUUGGGAUUUGAACACAAGUCAUACUGGCUCCAGAAGUCUCAAUCAGAAGAAAAAAAAAAAAGAAGAAGAAGAAGAAGAAAGAAGAGGAAGAGGAAGAAAAGGAGUGGAGAUGGUAACAGUAACUUUGGAAGCCUUAGGUGUGGAACUUGACUAUGUUCUGUGGGAUGAGUAGAAGUCAGCUGUUGGUGGGGUUGGGGACACAUUCGGAGGAGGAGGAACACCUUGCUGGAGUCAUGGAAGCCAGGAAGGGUCCUGGCCUGGUGCCAGCUGUGCACCUUUCCAUUCGCUGACUUCAAGUUUAGGGACAUGCUCCAGCAUCUGUUUUCUCUUCAUGACCCUUCAGAAGACUCCCUCCAGAAUUUACCCAUUUCCUCUCCAAACCCAUGUGCAUCCACACAACCUGUGCUAUGUCCUCACCUCUAUGUUCCCAGGGCUUUGAGGGGCCCCUUGUGAUCUCUUGCACUGAUUACAUCUAUUUAGAGAUGGGAGAUGCCUUGGUGGCAACAUCCUCAGCAGAGUUCAGGAUCUGAGGACUUCUUUGAUUCUCUUUUCUUACCCAGUUACAUUUGUUCCAAUCCACAUUUCUACUGAUCCUUGCUGAUUGGCUGGGAAAGAAAGGGGAAGAGGAAGGAGAAGAAGGAAAAAGAAAGAAGACUGGAUUGUUGAUCUCCUUAGGAUGGGUACACAUGGUCGUCUAAUUAGUGUAUAAGCUCCUUAACUUCUAUGCAGCCUCUCUAUCUCUGCCUUUCUCUUUACCAGGUACAGGGCCCUCAUGGAGACAGAGCUCAAUAAGAGCUUGUGGGUGACUUAAGGGGAUUCAUACUCUGUCCAAAAGGUGUCUGCUCUCCUCCCUAGGAGGGAAGAGAGGUAAAAACGAUAGAUAAAUGUAGUAGUUGCAUCUUGCAUUCUAUGAUCAGAUGGAUGCCCUUGGAGCGAGGCUAGGAGCAGGGAAGGGGGAGGUGGUUUAGGAAGGAGGAAGAGGAGAGGCCCCUUGCUCCUUGCCCUCUCCUUUCUCAUGGCUCCAUCUGGACCCAUCCUUAGGGAGCGUGGAAAUGCUUAUAAUUUCAUCUUGGCAGUCAACUUCACUGUAGAAAAUGGAUGGAAACUUGAAGGUUGUGAAGCCUUUGUAAAAGCAAGGAUGGAAGGGUAGAGAAGCCACCAUAUCCAUGGAGGUGGGGAGAUGAAGUUCUUCAGGAUCGACAGAAAAGGGUGAAAAGCCCUGGAAAUUGUAAUUUUACAGGUAACCUUAAGAGAACAAUCUUUCAGUUUUUAAUUUCUUUAAAAGACCAUUAUCUAAAGCAACAACAGCAGUAAUAUAGGGCUUCUAACAUCUCAGGGUAUAAAAUAUAUGAACACAGUAGAACAAAGGAUGGGGGAUGGUAAAAGGGAAUCAUACUGGUUUAAGUUCUUCUAUGUGCUAAGGAUGCAAAUUGUAAUCCCUAGUACAAAUAAUUCAAGAAUAAAAUAGAUUUAGCUAAAAAGUCCCAAAAGUCAGUAAAAUGGAAUAUUAAGAUGUAAGUGAUUAAUCCAAAAGAGGGCCAAAAAAAGGAACAAGGAACCAAGGGGACAAAUAGAAAAUAAAUGACAGUACUUAUUAAUUGUAAUAUUAUCCACAAAGGGGAGGAAGGGAAGGGAAGAAAGUAGAUCUCUCUAAGGUCUUUCCCAGCUUUUGGUGUCCACACCACUGGUUUUAGUCCACACUCCCCUGUCUGCAUCUACUAGUGGAACUGAGGCAUCAUCAAGUUUUCUUAACAUCAGAGCUGGGAUGAGAGUGGGGUCAGCUGGUUCCUGGGUCUAAUCAUGGGCCCGUCAGGUAGAGGAGACCAUGGUUAUGGGUUUGUAAUUAGAGUAGCAAGUUCAGGUAAUGAUUAGGUUUGGAGUCAAAGAUAUUAUUUCUAUUAGUUAGGCCUGGGGUUAAGGCCAACUUAGAGUUGGCAACUGCUUGGAGUUCGUGCUGGAUUUGGUUUAUUGGUCCCAUCUGUAGUGUGGGAGAGGACUGGGCUUCAGGAAUAUUAGAUUGGGUGGGAUGGGCUGAUCCAGCAGGGCCCCUGCAAUCUCUCAGGGCAGUUAUUCACAUCCACUAGGUCUAUUCUUUCCCAUAGUUAAUAAGCUUUUUCUCUUUUAUCAAUGCAAUGCAACAUCCAUUGAUUUAAAAAGCCUUUGAUCACCUGCUAUGUAUCAGGCACCAUUCUAAGUGCUGGGGAUGCAGUGUGAACAAGACAAAAUCCCUGACCCUACCGAGCGGAUGUGCUGAGGGUGAUAAACAAACAUGAAUCCAGAGAAGAGAACCAGGCCAGCAGGUCAGAGUGAUCUGGAAGUCUGGGAAGAUCUUGUGAUUGAUGAGAAGGGACAGCAGGAGCAGAGGCCUGGAGGUGGGCAGAAUGAAGGCAGUGUGGCACCAGAAGUGGGCAGGAAAGGCGAAGAAGCACAGCUGUGCCAGGUAAGUCUCCUGGGCUGGAUUCCGGGGGAAGGUAGAAACAAGGGCGUGGCAGAGUCUCCCUUGAGAUCUAAAAGACAACUCUGGCUGCUGUGUGGAGAAUAGCCUGGAGCAGUGACAAGAAAACAAACAAACAAAAUGAAACAAAGGGCUAUGAGAUAGGAGCCCUGGAUUCCUCAGGGUGCUGUGUGAGAUCUCAGCUACUUCUUCGCUUAGGCUCUCUUCUGGCUGGCUGUCUGUAAAAUGCCAAGAGUGGGCUCUAUGCCACUUUAGUUAUAGAGACAUAGAGUCAGUGCUAGAUCAUUUUGAAAAGCUGCCCUUAGAGAACAAGGGCUCUAUGAAAGCAAAGGCUCCGGUAUCUUCUUGUCCCCUCGGUAUUUGAGACACUCAGUACAUUCAGUCAAUUAGGUGGAAUGGGUGUAAUAAUAACUUGAGUUCGUUUCCUCCAUGAACACUGUGGCUUCUGAGACGUCACUGGCACAAGAGCUGGUCGGUUACUUUGGUUCAAGAGGCCAGACUCAACUGAGUAGCCCCUUGUGCCAGCCAGAUCCGUUCCCUCCCUUCCCAGCCCAUGACCUGAUCAGACAGCUUUUAAUGGGGAGUCACCCGUCAGCGUGGGGGCCCCUCUGCAUGAGUGACCCUCCCCGCUGGGGAGCAAAAACAACCGCUAGGACUGAAGGCCAGCUUCCAGCUGCCCCACUGCUGAGUUGCUUCAUUUCUCCUCCAAGGCCAUCUCCCCUUAAGGAGGAGAGGGAUAAGAAUCUGGUCCUGGCUUCCUCACAGGGGGAAAGAGGAUCAACAGAAACCCCUGGGGAAAUGUCAGAGUGUGAGCUGUGUUGUUGCCACUGCAGCUGAGGGCACUACUCCUGUUGUCGGUGGGUUGGGAAAGAGCCUGUGACACAGGAGAAAGGUCUUUGUGCUCCUCCAGCCCUAGCCCUGCAGGCCCAAUCCCAACGGAAGGGCAUUGAAAAAAAAAAAAAAAAA
Sus scrofa (pig) is the source of this 4412-nucleotide non-coding RNA. The record is from RefSeq and is a predicted model, not a curated record. NCBI's taxonomy places the organism in Eukaryota, Metazoa, Chordata, Mammalia, Artiodactyla, Suidae.